UUAGGUUUUCUUCAUUUUCUUUUGAAAUUUUUCUGGGAUUCUUGUUGUUGAAGGUUGACGGAGAUGAUAUGAAGAUGAAAAAGAGGAGAAG
RNAcentral lists this microRNA precursor (91 nucleotides) under Medicago truncatula (barrel medic). RNAcentral describes it as "MIR5298 microRNA precursor family". It matches the Rfam family "MIR5298 microRNA precursor family". Lineage: Eukaryota; Viridiplantae; Streptophyta; Magnoliopsida; Fabales; Fabaceae. The record is from Rfam by way of RNAcentral.